This 765-nucleotide ribosomal RNA is filed under the name uncultured bacterium. Its description in RNAcentral is "bacterial SSU rRNA". It matches the Rfam family "Bacterial small subunit ribosomal RNA", at positions 93 to 844 of the family's 1533-position model. The record is from RNAcentral.
GAGUGGCGAACGGGUGAGUAACACGUGGGUAACCUGCCCAUCAGAAGGGGAUAACACUUGGAAACAGGUGCUAAUACCGUAUAACACUAUUUUCCGCAUGGAAGAAAGUUGAAAGGCGCUUUUGCGUCACUGAUGGAUGGACCCGCGGUGCAUUAGCUAGUUGGUGAGGUAACGGCUCACCAAGGCCACGAUGCAUAGCCGACCUGAGAGGGUGAUCGGCCACACUGGGACUGAGACACGGCCCAGACUCCUACGGGAGGCAGCAGUAGGGAAUCUUCGGCAAUGGACGAAAGUCUGACCGAGCAACGCCGCGUGAGUGAAGAAGGUUUUCGGAUCGUAAAACUCUGUUGUUAGAGAAGAACAAGGAUGAGAGUAGAACGUUCAUCCCUUGACGGUAUCUAACCAGAAAGCCACGGCUAACUACGUGCCAGCAGCCGCGGUAAUACGUAGGUGGCAAGCGUUGUCCGGAUUUAUUGGGCGUAAAGCGAGCGCAGGCGGUUUCUUAAGUCUGAUGUGAAAGCCCCCGGCUCAACCGGGGAGGGUCAUUGGAAACUGGGAGACUUGAGUGCAGAAGAGGAGAGUGGAAUUCCAUGUGUAGCGGUGAAAUGCGUAGAUAUAUGGAGGAACACCAGUGGCGAAGGCGGCUCUCUGGUCUGUAACUGACGCUGAGGCUCGAAAGCGUGGGGAGCGAACAGGAUUAGAUACCCUGGUAGUCCACGCCGUAAACGAUGAGUGCUAAGUGUUGGAGGGUUUCCGCCCUUCAGU